CAGUAGCCGCGGUAAUACGUAGGUCCCGAGCGUUGUCCGGAUUUAUUGGGCGUAAAGGGAGCGCAGGCGGUUUAGUAAGUCUGAAGUUAAAGGCAUUGGCUCAACCAAUGUAUGCUUUGGAAACUGUUAGACUUGAGUGCAGAAGGGGAGGGUGGAAUUCCAUGUGGAGCGGUGAAAUGCGUUGAGAUCGGAAAGAACACCAACGGCGAAAGCACUCUGCUGGGCCGACACUGACACUGAGAGACGAAAGCUAGGGGAGCAAAUGGGAUUAGAUACCCCCGUAGUCCCUGUCUCUUAUACA
This 301-nucleotide ribosomal RNA is filed under the name uncultured bacterium. RNAcentral describes it as "partial 16S ribosomal RNA". It matches the Rfam family "Bacterial small subunit ribosomal RNA", at positions 509 to 808 of the family's 1533-position model. The record is from RNAcentral.